CCCUUUAUCUGCCAUUUGAAGUUGCCGUAGCUUCCUCUCUUCUCAACCAUGCGAGCCCCAUUUCCGACCAGCAACGGCGAUGUGAGGGCACUCCGACGACACCCCAACGUGGGUAGUUGCUGUGCGUUCGUGCACGGAGAUAGUUGCUGCGACGUGGGACAAUGGUGGCGUCGAUCUGCUGCUAACGUAAAUUGAAAGCUCGUUGGGUUGGAAGCUUGGCGGAGAUCACUCACACUAUCCACCGGCCCAUUUCAGUACAAAUAUAAAACUAAUUUUGGUUGUAAUGGCAUGUAUAAGCUAACUUGGCCAAUGUUGGCAUAUAAAUGUUAUGGUUGUAAAUAGCCAUUGGAAUGACUUAUGAGGAAUAUGUUUUGAUAUAUAUAUAGUAGAUUUACUUGAAAAA
Molecule: long non-coding RNA, 403 nt
Organism: Gossypium raimondii (Peruvian cotton)
Lineage: Eukaryota; Viridiplantae; Streptophyta; Magnoliopsida; Malvales; Malvaceae
Exons: 3
Source: RefSeq, a predicted model, not a curated record